UCUAAACUGUGCCACAAUAGUCGGAUCAACAGGCUCCUUCAACAGUCAUAAGUGUGAUGACCAACGCCCCUUCCUCUGCUCCAGAGAUGUCAAACCUUCAGCCUCGAGGUCAGUGAAGGUUCAGCUGAGGGUGGGAUCUGCAGACCUGAACGACCCCACAGUGCAAGAAUCCAUCCUGCAGCAGGUGAGGGAGAAGCUGGUGGAGCAAGGGAUCAGAGAGGAGGUGAAGCUGAGGUGGAGGACGCAGCCUGAUGGGAAGGUUUUCCACAGAGAGGAGGAGACAGCC
Long non-coding RNA from Haplochromis burtoni (Burton's mouthbrooder), 286 nucleotides. RefSeq lists it as uncharacterized. The record is from RefSeq and is a predicted model, not a curated record. The transcript has 3 exons. Lineage: Eukaryota; Metazoa; Chordata; Actinopteri; Cichliformes; Cichlidae.